CCUACGGGGGGCUGCAGUCGAGAAUCUUCGGCAAUGGGCGCAAGCCUGACCGAGCGACGCCGCGUGCGGGAUGAAGGCCUUCGGGUUGUAAACCGCUGUCGAGGGGAAUGAAGUGCAGGUGGGUUCUCCCAUCUGUUUGACAGAUCCCUGGAGGAAGCAUGGGCUAAGUUCGUGCCAGCAGCCGCGGUAAGACGAACCAUGCGAACGUUAUUCGGAUUCACUUGCGUUAACGCGUUCGUAGGCGAGCUUUGAAAGCCCUCAGCCCAACUGAGGAAUUGCGCUUGAUACUGCAUGACUAGAGAAUGAUAGAGGUGGGUGGAACUGAGGGUGGAGCGGUGAAAUGCGUUGAUAUCAUCAGGAACACCAGUGGCGAAGGCGACCCACUGGGUCAUUUCUGACGCUGAGGUACGAAAGCUAGGGUAGCGAACGGGAUUAGAUACCCCGGUAGUC
This 450-nucleotide ribosomal RNA is filed under the name uncultured bacterium. RNAcentral describes it as "partial 16S ribosomal RNA". It matches the Rfam family "Bacterial small subunit ribosomal RNA", at positions 338 to 795 of the family's 1533-position model. The record is from RNAcentral.